Molecule: small RNA, 117 nt
Filed under: pig gut metagenome
Description: Ribosomal protein L10 leader
Rfam family: Ribosomal protein L10 leader
About the family: This family is a putative r-protein leader autoregulatory structure found in B. subtilis and other low-GC Gram-positive bacteria.
Source: RNAcentral
GUAUGUUGCCGAAGACAGCAGGUGCCGAGAGGCGUAAACGUGAGUGCCUGCCGAGGAGAAUGAUAAAGGAUUUACGAAUUCUGCCCCUUCGCGCAAUGCGGAGGGGCUUUUUUCAUA